Molecule: small nuclear RNA, 104 nt
Organism: Grammomys surdaster
Lineage: Eukaryota; Metazoa; Chordata; Mammalia; Rodentia; Muridae
Source: RefSeq, a predicted model, not a curated record
GGGCUCGCUUUGGCAGCUCAUAUAUGAAAGUUGGAAUAAGACAGAGAUUAUCAUGGCCUCUGUGCAAGGAUCACAUGCAAGUUUGUGAAGCGUUCCAUAUUUUA